RNAcentral lists this non-coding RNA (177 nucleotides) under Clostridium argentinense. The record is from RNAcentral. Lineage: Bacteria; Bacillati; Bacillota; Clostridia; Eubacteriales; Clostridiaceae. RNAcentral also lists the same sequence under 1 other name.
UUAAAUAAUAAGAAUUUAGGUGCUUUUAUAAGUGAAAAGGGAAUGUGGUUAAACUCCACAGCAGCCCCCGCUACUGUAAAUGAUGACGAACCUUAAAUUAUACCACUCUUUUGAAGGGGAAGGUUAAGGAGAGAAUGAAUCAAAAGCCAGGAGACCUGCCUAAAUCUUAAGUAAAAG